UACGUAGGGUGCAAGCGUUGUCCGGAAUUAUUGGGCGUAAAGAGCUCGUAGGCGGUCUGCCACGUCCGCUGUGAAAACCUAGGGCUUAACCCUGGGCUUGCAGUAGAUACGGGCAGACUAGAGGUAGGUAGGGGAGAAUGGAAUUCCCGGUGUAGCGGUGAAAUGCGCAGAUAUCGGGAGGAACACCGGUGGCGAAGGCGGUUCUCUGGGCCUUACCUGACGCUGAGGAGCGAAAGCGUGGAGAGCAAACAGG
This 253-nucleotide ribosomal RNA is filed under the name uncultured bacterium. Its description in RNAcentral is "partial 16S ribosomal RNA". It matches the Rfam family "Bacterial small subunit ribosomal RNA", at positions 524 to 776 of the family's 1533-position model. The record is from RNAcentral.